This is a long non-coding RNA of Osmerus eperlanus (European smelt), 510 nucleotides long. RefSeq lists it as uncharacterized. NCBI's taxonomy places the organism in Eukaryota, Metazoa, Chordata, Actinopteri, Osmeriformes, Osmeridae. The transcript has 3 exons. The record is from RefSeq and is a predicted model, not a curated record.
AUGCUCACAUUCUUUUAAACGACAGCGGUGAGCACAGCUUUCAAAGGUAAUUUAGGCUACGGUUUUACUCAUCUGUAGAUAAACGCGAGUAAAUAUCGUAAUAGUUGGUCUUAUUGCUAAAUAAGCAAAGGAACUUCAUUGCAGCUUUUGCUAUUUUGUGAAUAUCGCUGCCUUUACAUUGAGGCAUGUCGUUAAUUAUGAAAACAACAGAGUCCCAGGUCCCUUACGACGUGAACACAGACCUCUGCUUAAUUGCGGACUGAGUGCAAUUUAAACCCAGCAGUUGCAUAGGCUUUAAUAACGGUAGUCCAGAAUUCAUCGGAAACCCAGCUGGACAACAUUUCCGUCACCUCUGCAGGUAUUGAACCGAGGCUACUGAAUCUCUAACAAUGGAAUACAGGUGAUGGUGAGUUCCCUCCCGGGUGUGUGAUGCUACUGCUCAGGUAGAGCGCCUCCGCACCCCCCCGCCUCGCCCCCCACCCCCCCUCCGACACCGCCCCCUCCUCCACC